RNAcentral lists this non-coding RNA (67 nucleotides) under Thiocystis violascens DSM 198. Lineage: Bacteria; Pseudomonadati; Pseudomonadota; Gammaproteobacteria; Chromatiales; Chromatiaceae. The record is from RNAcentral.
CCGCGAAACCCGCCCCCCCCGGCGGGUCUGUCCGGCGUGGUGGCCGGGCACUGACGAGCAGCCAUCA